RNAcentral lists this ribosomal RNA (466 nucleotides) under uncultured diatom. RNAcentral describes it as "bacterial SSU rRNA". It matches the Rfam family "Bacterial small subunit ribosomal RNA", at positions 9 to 524 of the family's 1533-position model. Lineage: Eukaryota; Bacillariophyta. The record is from RNAcentral.
GAGUUUGAUUCUGGCUCAGGAUGAACGCUGGCGGUAUGCUUUACACAUGCAAGUCUACGAGAGUUUUGAACUCAAGUGGCGGACGGGUGAGUAACACGUAAGAAUUUGCCUUUAGAGGGGGACAACAACUGGAAACGGUUGCUAAUACCCCAUAUGCUUUCGAGUGAAACGGUUUUCCGCCUAAAGAGAAGCUUGCGGCUGAUUAGCUUGUUGGUAAGGUAAUGGCUUACCAGGCGACGAUCAGUAUCUGGUUUGAGAGGACGAUCAGACACACUGGAACUGAGACACGGUCAGACUCCUACGGGAGGCAGCAGUGGGGAAUUUUCCGCAAUGGGCGAAAGCCUGACGGACAAUACCGCGUGAGGGAUGAAUGCCUAUGGGUUGUAAACCUCUUUUUUCAGGGAGGAAUAAUGACGUUACCUGAAGAAUAAGCAUCGGCUAACUCCGUGCCAGCAGCCGCGGUAAU